RNAcentral lists this ribosomal RNA (554 nucleotides) under uncultured archaeon. RNAcentral describes it as "bacterial SSU rRNA". It matches the Rfam family "Archaeal small subunit ribosomal RNA", at positions 325 to 879 of the family's 1478-position model. The record is from RNAcentral.
ACGGGGUGCAGCAGGCGCGAAAACUUUACAAUGCCGGCAACGGCGAUAAGGGGACCUCGAGUGCCAGGUUACAAAUCUGGCUGUCGUGAUGCCUAAAAAGCAUUGCACAGCAAGGGCCGGGCAAGACCGGUGCCAGCCGCCGCGGUAACACCGGCGGCUCGAGUGGUGACCGCUAUUAUUGGGUUUAAAGGGUCUGUAGCCGGCCGGAUAAGUCUCUUGAGAAAUCUGGCCGCUUAACGGUCAGGCUUUCAGGAGAUACUGUCUGGCUCGAGGCCGGGAGAGGUGAGAGGUACUUCAGGGGUAGGGGUGAAAUCUUGUAAUCCUUGAAGGACCACCAGUGGCGAAGGCGUCUCACCAGAACGGACCUGACGGCAAGGGACGAAAGCUAGGGGCACGAACCGGAUUAGAUACCCGGGUAGUCCUAGCCGUAAACGAUACUCGCUAGGUGUCGGCCACGGUGCGACCGUUGUCGGUGCCGUAGGGAAGCCGUGAAGCGAGCCACCUGGGAAGUACGGCCGCAAGGCUGAAACUUAAAGGAAUUGGCGGGGGAGCAC